UUAUAAGAGACAGCAGCCGCCGCGGUAAUACGUAGGGCGCAAGCGUUAUCCGGAAUUAUUGGGCGUAAAGAGCUCGUAGGCGGUUUGUCGCGUCUGCCGUGAAAGUCCGGGGCUCAACCCCGGAUCUGCGGUGGGUACGGGCAGACUAGAGUGAUGUAGGGGAGACUGGAAUUCCUGGUGUAGCGGUGAAAUGCGCAGAUAUCAGGAGGAACACCGAUGGCGAAGGCAGGUCUCUGGGCAUUAACUGACGCUGAGGAGCGAAAGCAUGGGGAGCGAACAGGAUUAGAUACCCCCGUAGUCCCUGUCUCUUAUAC
This 314-nucleotide ribosomal RNA is filed under the name uncultured bacterium. RNAcentral's name for it is "partial 16S ribosomal RNA". It matches the Rfam family "Bacterial small subunit ribosomal RNA", at positions 499 to 807 of the family's 1533-position model. The record is from RNAcentral.